AUUUGUACUUUUUGGAGGAAAAAAAAAAGCAAUAAAUGAUAUGAAAAAAGGUUAUUGUUUGUGGAUUUUGAUAUCGUUUGGAAUGGUAAAGAUGAUGCUGCUAUGGCAUGCCUCCCAUGGAUA
Cucurbita maxima (winter squash) is the source of this 123-nucleotide long non-coding RNA. RefSeq lists it as uncharacterized. The transcript has 2 exons. Lineage: Eukaryota; Viridiplantae; Streptophyta; Magnoliopsida; Cucurbitales; Cucurbitaceae. The record is from RefSeq and is a predicted model, not a curated record.